RNAcentral lists this long non-coding RNA (741 nucleotides) under Trifolium pratense (red clover). Its description in RNAcentral is "long non-coding RNA (TPRA_LNC008624)". Lineage: Eukaryota; Viridiplantae; Streptophyta; Magnoliopsida; Fabales; Fabaceae. The record is from RNAcentral.
CAAAAAAUCAUUGUUUUUCUUUGGAUUCAAAAAGCCUUAAGGAUAAGAGAGCAUAAACUUUGAGUAUCUUCAUUACAUUACAUAAGCUAUUCAUCCUCUUUCACUUUCCCCAUUCUUUACUUUUGGUGAUUCUUUUGUUUUGACACAAUUUCUAUUCAUUUCUUUUCCUUUUGUAACACAUUUUCUUUGAUUUUCAUUUGUGUGUCAAAUGACUUUCAAUGUUUUUCUUUUUCAAUCACCAUCUUCAACCUCUCAUGUUUUUCAACUACUUCUUUUUUUCUCUUUUUUUUUAUUCAAACAAAUAACCUCUUUUCUCCCCAACUUGGUUUCAACCCUACUUAAACUCAAUGCUCAAUCAUCCUAAGACAAGGGUCAAGUCAUUGUUUUUCUUUAUUGUGGUUCAAGGGUUCAAAAUCAAACAAAAUUUCAAAAAUUUUGGCUCACGGGGGUAGCAAAGGAUCACACUAACUCACAAGGUAGGUUAUUUUGGCUUAAGUAGUUACCACUCAAAUAGAAACAUGGCCUUGAUCAUUUCCAUGACUUCAAACACAUCAAGUAAUAGCAAGAUUCAGUUAAAAUCAACAGAGUUAAACACAAUUAUCGGCUCUCAAAUAUAUAAAUAAUGGAAGGUUCACACAAUCUCACCCGGCUAGGUCUACGUGAUUCAUAAUCAAUCAAUCAUGUUAAGAAGGAAUGGAUGAAAUCAAAUUGAAUAAAGCUACUUGGUUCAAAUUCAUCCUA